This 336-nucleotide ribosomal RNA is filed under the name Triticum aestivum (bread wheat). RNAcentral describes it as "partial small subunit ribosomal RNA". The record is from RNAcentral. Lineage: Eukaryota; Viridiplantae; Streptophyta; Magnoliopsida; Poales; Poaceae.
AUGGAUUCGCCUUUCUGGAAAGGUCUGAUGAGAGUUAAAUCAAUCUUUUUUAAUCGGACGAAGUUUGUUAUUAGGAACGGUACUUCUACGAGAUUCUGGGAGGAUACGUGGCUAGGGGAUACGCCCCUCGCGCUUCAAUGUCCUUCUCUAUAUAGCAUUGUUCAACAGAGAGAUGCAACCGUUGAGACAGUAUGUCAGUCCACGCCUCUUAAUAUUCACUUCAGGAGAGCGCUAGUCGGAAACCGUUGGGAAGCCUGGCUCCAUCUUGUGAGAAGAUUGAUGGAUGUUCAACUAACUCAACGACCCGAUCAGUUGUGUUGGAAGCUAACUAGGAAU